This 528-nucleotide ribosomal RNA is filed under the name uncultured Pseudomonadota bacterium. RNAcentral's name for it is "bacterial SSU rRNA". It matches the Rfam family "Bacterial small subunit ribosomal RNA", at positions 376 to 896 of the family's 1533-position model. The record is from RNAcentral. Lineage: Bacteria; Pseudomonadati; Pseudomonadota.
CGAAAGCCUGACGCAGCAACGCCGCGUGGACGAUGAAGGCCUUCGGGUCGUAAAGUCCUGUCAGAGGGGAAAAACCGGCCGGGUAGGAAAUGACCAGGCCCUGAUGGUACCCUCAAAGGAAGCACCGGCUAACUCCGUGCCAGCAGCCGCGGUAAUACGGGGGGUGCUAGCGUUGUUCGGAAUCACUGGGCGUAAAGCGCGUGUAGGCGGGUGGCUAAGUUAGAUGUGAAAUCCCACGGCUUAACCGUGGACGCGCAUUUAAAACUGGCCGCCUGGAGUGCGGAAGAGGGAAGGGAAUUCCCGGUGUAGAGGUGAAAUUCGUAGAUAUCGGGAGGAAUACCAGUGGCGAAGGCGCCUUCCUGGGACGACACUGACGCUGAGACGCGAAAGCGUGGGGAGCAAACAGGAUUAGAUACCCUGGUAGUCCACGCUGUAAACGAUGAGCACUAGGUGUUGUGGGUAUCGACCCCCGCAGUGCCGCAGCUAACGCAUUAAGUGCUCCGCCUGGGGAGUACGGUCGCAAGAUUA